CUUUGGUGGUCAGUGGCCAUGUUUAUUUGUGUUUGUUUGUCUCUGGUGGCUAUUAUCCAAAGAAGAAUAUUUAUUUUGGUUAUUUUAUAAACAAUUUUGGGGUUUAAAUGUUUUUAACUUAAAAACACGUUUAUGUACACAUUUUAAAUUGUAUAAACUUUGAAAUGUCAACGAUUAUAAAAUUCGAUUUAAAAGAUUUAAGAAAAUUAGCCUGUGAUAAGAAUUCUUGUGUGAUUGAGAAAAAAGUGACGCAAAAUUUGGCUUUACAGCCAUGGUGUCUCGGUAACAUUAAUGAAUCAAUAAAAAAUCUAUUGGAUUAUAAAAUUGGGAAAUUUGAUAAAGAAUACAAUGGUAUUUUAUUGAGUUACAAAAAUUUACGUCUGCUACAAAAUAUUGGCACCAUCAGAAAUGACAAUGCUGACAUCCACUUCCAAGUGCAAGCUGAUUAUUUUAUUUUCCAACCAUACAUUGGUGCAAGAUUAACUGGAAUUGUCAAUAAGAAAAGUACCACACAUCUUGGCAUUCUAGUCCAUAGAGUUUUAAUGUAGUUAUACCAAGGCCAACUGAAAAACCUGGAAAUGAAUGGAUAGGAUCAAGUAUACAAGAAGGUCAAGAAGUGAAGUUUACAAUUGUGGUCUUGGAUCUGUAUGGUGCAUUGCCUUACAUUAGGGGACAAUUGGAUGAAAGUUCUGUGAAAUUUUCUCAUGAAGGAGAUUGUGAAGAAAUGGAAACUGAAUCACUUCAGCCACUUCAAGUAUCCUAUAUUGACUUUGAUAAAACUAAACCCAAUAUACAAAAGCAAAGUGGGGAUGGUACAACACUACCUACAAAAAAUAAAACAAAAUUAAAUUCAAGUAAACAUCAAUUGAAGAAUGUGCCUACAACAGACAGCUCUAAUCAAGUUCAAAAUGGAAAAAGUAAUGCUAAAACAAAACAUGUAGAAAGUAAUGUUAGUAUGUCCGAAAAGACGAAAACUAAGAGGCGAAGCAAAAUACCAGAAACAGAUAUGAAGCCAUCAGACCCAAAUAUUAG
RNAcentral lists this long non-coding RNA (1032 nucleotides) under Manduca sexta (tobacco hornworm). Its description in RNAcentral is "uncharacterized LOC119193477". Lineage: Eukaryota; Metazoa; Arthropoda; Insecta; Lepidoptera; Sphingidae. The record is from RNAcentral.